GGAAAGCAGUUAAUAGGGGAUCGGGGCGUUAAUUCUUAAGACAACCGGCCAGAUCGUCACACAUUGACUCACACUAACGCGGAUAUUAUGAGUUAAUAAUUUGGUAGAUGGAUAAUAGUUGACACUUUUCUUGCCUAUUCUGAGUAGCCUUACCAAUUUUCAGGCGUAUUAUUGACUUUGGUAGCGCUGUGGAUGAUUUCACAUUGAAGCACUUGUAUGGGUCUAUUGGGCCUUCAAGAGCUGAACAAACUUAUGAAUAUACUCCACCUGAAGCUCUUUUGAAUGCCAGUUGGUAUCAAGGGCUGACUCUCACUACUAUGAAGUAUGACAUGUGGAGUGUUGGUGUAGUGAUCUUAGAACUGGUUUUGGGUACUCCAGACGUGUUUCAGGUGAGUUCUAGGACGCGUGCUCUUUUAGAUCAGCACCUAGAGGGUUGGAGCGAAAGCUUGAAGGAGCUAGCUUACAAGUAAGUCCAGUUUAGAAAUGAUUAUGCCAGCUCGAUAGAGUACUUUUUCGACUUCUUGGAAAAAAAUUAACGUGGUUAACCAUAUAUGUUGCAUUUUAUUUUGAUUAUUUUUCCACGUGGAAGGUGAUUGGUAUCUUGUUUUACAAUACGGUAGUAUAUAUAAGUAUUACAUCGUCUUCAGUUAAUCGUCCACAAAAAGAUGUAGUCGAUCUGCCUUAAGUACCACUGAAGACAAGGUGUCUGAUUUCUGCACAACUGAAAUCAGAACCUUGAGGAUUAAAAGUUGAUGAAACUAUGUCUUAACCAUGACUUAUAUUUCUUCAGCAAUCUGUGUUUAAGGUGAUGGGAAUAUGGAGAAAGAAUAGAGUUGUACUGUGAGAGAAUUUUAAGAGAAUAGAAGAUGUAUUAAAUACCUGAUGAUUUGAUGAAUAUAAGACACCUAUUUAUAGGUGUUAAAUACAAUACAUGUUAUAUUUUUCAAUCUGGGACGUCUAACACAAUUACAUUACUCUUCUAAUACUCUACUCUGACAUUAUAUCGCUAACAGUUAACAUUCUAACACGAAUCUGAAGUUACUCUUCUUUGUAGUUGACUUGCAAUGUGUACCUUAAUCAUAAGUUAAGCCACAGCCGGGAAUUUUGAUUGAAAUAUGUGGUGUCACUUUGGUAGCUAAUAACAACUGAUUUAGAUUUCAAAUUUCAUUUGAAAUGACUACGAUUCAUUAGAAAAUAAAAAGGAAGUUAAAUUCCUGUGUUGACAUACAAGUUGUCUAGCACAUGUAUACACAUGUACUACAUCAUAGCUAGCACAUGUAUAUGAGUUGUAUAGUAGGUGUAAUACAAGUUGUGUAGCACAUGUAUACACAUGUACUACAUCAUAGCUAGCACAUGUAUAUGAGUUGUAUAGUAGGUGUAAUUAGGUGUAUGACAACUAAUAGAUUAGGUGAAUUAGUAUUAUAAAUAGGCCUUGUAAUCUUCUCUUCUAGAUAUGAAAUAUAGAACUUCUUUGGUUUCUAACAUGGUGUCAGAGCAUUGAAGUUUUUUUCAUCAGUUUGUUGUUGAGAAUUUUUUUUUUCCCCGUUCGAAUUAUUUUUGUUCAGAACAGUCUUUCGCUGCUUUGAUUUUAUUUCACUAUUUCUGGCCAUUUUUUGCUCCGGCCGCUUCUUUACAGAUUUUUCUACUCACUAUUCCGACCAAAGUGGUACUGUCAGAAUUUUUUUUUCCUGACAACUUUCAUUUUCCAAGAUCAAUGUUCCGGCACUGUUCACUGCACUGUUCACUGUUCAAAUAUUACUAUUCACUGUUCACUGUA
Molecule: non-coding RNA, 1777 nt
Organism: Nicotiana tabacum (common tobacco)
Lineage: Eukaryota; Viridiplantae; Streptophyta; Magnoliopsida; Solanales; Solanaceae
Source: RefSeq, a predicted model, not a curated record